UUUCUCUCUUCACACUGAUUCUGGAAAAAAACAAUUCUCUCUCUUUCCAUUAGUCAAACCUAAAACAAGUCUCAUUAUCAAACGAUCCUCCACUCUCUCAUGACUUUCUCUCUCCGUCGCUUCACUCUCUCCCUCUCUCUUAACUCUGUUUUAUGAAUCGACUCUCUCUCUCCUUUUCACGAUUUCAUGGCACAUAACAACAAAAACAACAUGCAAAAACCAAGCUCAAACGAAGAAUAGAUCUCAAACGCACACAAAGCAAAAAUCACGUAAAAAAAAUCAGAUGCCAUGGAUUCGGUUCAACACAGAAGAAUAAAAGUUGCAGCAAAGCCUAAUGGAUGAUAAAAAGGAAACUCAUAGAAGAAGGUAGACGCAAAUGGUUUACCAAAUCAGAAGUUCUGAAAAUCUCCGGGUUGGCGAGAUCUUUCGAAUUCCAACAAAGGCCUUCUUCCGCAAGCGAUUCUUUAAUGAGGUUACAACGUGAAGUGACUUGAUGGAAUGGAAGGUUGGAUCCACUCUAUGAGGCAAUUGGAUUUAGGAGCGUUUUGGCCUGAAGAAAGAUUUUGGCCGUUGGUUCUUCAAAAGCUUUGUUCUCAACCUGUCAUUGUUGCAACAACUUUUAUUUGGAUUUGUAUUGUGGAUAAUUAUGCAACUGUUCUUGAAUGGUUUGUAAUGUGUGAAGUUUUUAAAAAAAAUGUUUAUGUAAUUAAUUUUCUUUUUGUUUAAAAACAACUAAAUUUUAUUUUAAUAUUUUGUUUGUAUAUGUCCCAUUAAGGUGUUUUAAAAUUUGUCUUGUUAUC
Long non-coding RNA from Lathyrus oleraceus (garden pea), 800 nucleotides. RefSeq lists it as uncharacterized. The record is from RefSeq and is a predicted model, not a curated record. The transcript has 2 exons. Lineage: Eukaryota; Viridiplantae; Streptophyta; Magnoliopsida; Fabales; Fabaceae.